RNAcentral lists this ribosomal RNA (931 nucleotides) under uncultured Oxalobacteraceae bacterium. RNAcentral describes it as "bacterial SSU rRNA". It matches the Rfam family "Bacterial small subunit ribosomal RNA", at positions 57 to 986 of the family's 1533-position model. The record is from RNAcentral. Lineage: Bacteria; Pseudomonadati; Pseudomonadota; Betaproteobacteria; Burkholderiales; Oxalobacteraceae.
GCAAGUCGAACGGCAGCGCGGGGCAACCUGGCGGCGAGUGGCGAACGGGUGAGUAAUAUAUCGGAACGUACCCAGGAGUGGGGGAUAACGUAGCGAAAGUUACGCUAAUACCGCAUACGACCUAAGGGUGAAAGUGGGGGAUCGCAAGACCUCAUGCUCAUGGAGCGGCCGAUAUCUGAUUAGCUAGUUGGUGGGGUAAAGGCUCACCAAGGCAACGAUCAGUAGCUGGUCUGAGAGGACGACCAGCCACACUGGAACUGAGACACGGUCCAGACUCCUACGGGAGGCAGCAGUGGGGAAUUUUGGACAAUGGGGGCAACCCUGAUCCAGCAAUGCCGCGUGAGUGAAGAAGGCCUUCGGGUUGUAAAGCUCUUUUGUCAGGGAAGAAACGACCCCCUCUAAUACAGGGGGUUAAUGACGGUACCUGAAGAAUAAGCACCGGCUAACUACGUGCCAGCAGCCGCGGUAAUACGUAGGGUGCAAGCGUUAAUCGGAAUUACUGGGCGUAAAGCGUGCGCAGGCGGUUUUGUAAGACUGUCGUGAAAUCCCCGGGCUUAACCUGGGAAUGGCGAUGGUGACUGCAAGGCUAGAGUUUGGCAGAGGGGGGUAGAAUUCCACGUGUAGCAGUGAAAUGCGUAGAGAUGUGGAGGAACACCGAUGGCGAAGGCAGCCCCCUGGGUCAAAACUGACGCUCAUGCACGAAAGCGUGGGGAGCAAACAGGAUUAGAUACCCUGGUAGUCCACGCCCUAAACGAUGUCUACUAGUUGUCGGGUCUUAAUUGACUUGGUAACGCAGCUAACGCGUGAAGUAGACCGCCUGGGGAGUACGGUCGCAAGAUUAAAACUCAAAGGAAUUGACGGGGACCCGCACAAGCGGUGGAUGAUGUGGAUUAAUUCGAUGCAACGCGAAAAACCUUACCUACCCUUGACA